RNAcentral lists this ribosomal RNA (253 nucleotides) under uncultured bacterium. RNAcentral describes it as "partial 16S ribosomal RNA". It matches the Rfam family "Bacterial small subunit ribosomal RNA", at positions 524 to 776 of the family's 1533-position model. The record is from RNAcentral.
GACGAAGGAUGCAAGCGUUAUCCGGAUUCAUUGGGUUUAAAAGGAGCGUAGGCGGACUUAUAAGUCAGUGGUGAAAUCUCCUUGCUUAACAAGGAAACUGCCAUUGAUACUGUAGGUCUUGAGUACAGUUGCCGUUGGCGGAAUAUGACAUGUAGUGGUGAAAUACUUAGAUAUGUCAUAGAACACCGAUUGCGAAGGCAGCUAACGAAGCUGUAACUGACGCUGAGGCUCGAAAGUGCGGGGAUCAAACAGG